AACGAGCGCAACCCUUGCCUUUAGUUGCCAGCAGUUCGGCUGGGCACUCUAAAGGGAACUGCCGGUGUUAAACCGGAGGAAGGUGGGGAGUGACGUCAAGUCCUCAUGGCCUUUAUGACCAGGGCUACACACGUACUACAAUGGCCGAUACAAAGGGCAGCGACACUGCGAGGUGAAGCCAAUCCCGUAAAAUCGGUCUCAGUCCGGAUUGGAGUCUGCAACUCGACUCCAUGAAGUUGGAAUCGCUAGUAAUCGUGGAUCAGCAUGCCACGGUGAAUACGUUCCCGGGCCUU
RNAcentral lists this ribosomal RNA (293 nucleotides) under uncultured Desulfobulbus sp. Its description in RNAcentral is "partial 16S ribosomal RNA". It matches the Rfam family "Bacterial small subunit ribosomal RNA", at positions 1091 to 1382 of the family's 1533-position model. The record is from RNAcentral. Lineage: Bacteria; Pseudomonadati; Thermodesulfobacteriota; Desulfobulbia; Desulfobulbales; Desulfobulbaceae.